RNAcentral lists this ribosomal RNA (801 nucleotides) under Triticum aestivum (bread wheat). RNAcentral describes it as "partial small subunit ribosomal RNA". The record is from RNAcentral. Lineage: Eukaryota; Viridiplantae; Streptophyta; Magnoliopsida; Poales; Poaceae.
AUGGCGCACAGGGUGCUGGAGCUGACGCUGGUGUCGGGUCACAACCUGAAGGAUGUCAACGUGUUCAGCCGUAUGGAGGUGUACGCCAUCACGUCCGUCUUCGGCGACCCUGGGACGCGGCGGUGCAGCCAGACCGACCGCGACGGCGCCAGGCACCCGUCGUGGGACGAAACGUUCCUGUUCACCGUCCCGCCCACGGCCGCCAAGGCCGCCGCCGCGGGCGCCUACCUCCACGUGCUCCUCCGCACCGAGCGCCUCUUCGGCUUGGAUGACCGCGACGUCGGCGAGGUGUUCAUCCCUGUCGCGGACCUUCUGGCCUGCGCCUGCGUGGGCGGCCCGCCGCGGUGCGCGUCGUACCCGGUCCGGAAGGUGCACUGCACCGAGCACCGGGGCAUGCUCACCGUGGCGUACCGCUUCGGCCCCGUGAUGGUGCCGCUGGCCCAGGGCGAAGGGUUGUGCUGGGACAACGCCGCCGUGGUGGGGUACGAGCUGCCGCCGUGGCAGUAUUGUCCUCCGACGUACGUCUACGCGCCGGAGGCGGCGGUGCCGCGCUACCCUCAGGCGUGUGCUCGCAUGCCGCCGGCGCCCAAGCCAGCCGCCGGCUGUGGCGCGGCCGCUGCGUCGCCAGCGCAGAAAAAUCAUUACGUAAGGAACGACAGCCUCGCGAUGGGGCUCGGCGCGGGGCUGCUCGGCGGAGGCUUCGCGGGGAUGGUGUUCGGCGACAUGCCGCCGUCGGACAGGGCCGCUCAUGAAUCCGCAUACAAGCACACGGCCGCCGACGGCGCAGGAGUUGCCUUCUGA